Molecule: small RNA, 120 nt
Filed under: Olleya namhaensis
Lineage: Bacteria; Pseudomonadati; Bacteroidota; Flavobacteriia; Flavobacteriales; Flavobacteriaceae
Description: Flavo-1 RNA
Rfam family: Flavo-1 RNA
Source: Rfam by way of RNAcentral
AGUAAGCGCGUUAAGGAUGGAAGUGGCAUCCUUUUUUAUUUUGCCUGAUCUAUUUUGUGAAGCAUGAACAACAUAGGUAAAGUGCAAAUAAAAAAGAUAUAACGGACAGCCUGACGCUUU